GGGUUGUGAGGUUAAGCGACUAAGCGUACACGGUGGAUGCCCUGGCAGUCAGAGGCGAUGAAGGACGUGCUAAUCUGCGAAAAGCGUCGGUAAGGUGAUAUGAACCGUUAUAACCGGCGAUGUCCGAAUGGGGAAACCCAGUGCAAUUCGUUGCACUAUCGUUAACUGAAUACAUAGGUUAACGAGGCGAACCGGGGGAACUGAAACAUCUAAGUACCCCGAGGAAAAGAAAUCAACCGAGAUUCCCCCAGUAGCGGCGAGCGAACGGGGAGCAGCCCAGAGUCUGAAUCAGCUUGUGUGUUAGUGGAACGGUCUGGAAAGUCCGACGGUACAGGGUGAUAGUCCCGUACACCAAAAUGCACAGGUUGUGAACUCGAAGAGUAGGGCGGGACACGUGGUAUCCUGUCUGAAUAUGGGGGGACCAUCCUCCAAGGCUAAAUACUCCUGACUGACCGAUAGUGAACCAGUACCGUGAGGGAAAGGCGAAAAGAACCCCGGCGAGGGGAGUGAAAAAGAACCUGAAACCGUGUACGUACAAGCAGUGGGAGCACCUUCGGGUGUGACUGCGUACCUUUUGUAUAAUGGGUCAGCGACUUAUAUUCUGUAGCAAGGUUAACCGUAUAGGGGAGCCGCAGGGAAACCGAGUCUUAACUGGGCGUUAAGUUGCAGGGUAUAGACCCGAAACCCGGUGAUCUAGCCAUGGGCAGGUUGAAGGUUGGGUAACACUAACUGGAGGACCGAACCGACUAAUGUUGAAAAAUUAGCGGAUGACUUGUGGCUGGGGGUGAAAGGCCAAUCAAACCGGGAGAUAGCUGGUUCUCCCCGAAAGCUAUUUAGGUAGCGCCUCGUGAACUCAUCUUCGGGGGUAGAGCACUGUUUCGGCUAGGGGGUCAUCCCGACUUACCAACCCGAUGCAAACUACGAAUACCGAAGAAUGUUAUCACGGGAGACACACGGCGGGUGCUAACGUCCGUCGUGAAGAGGGAAACAACCCAGACCGCCAGCUAAGGUCCCAAAGUCAUGGUUAAGUGGGAAACGAUGUGGGAAGGCACAGACAGCCAGGAUGUUGGCUUAGAAGCAGCCAUCAUUUAAAGAAAGCGUAAUAGCUCACUGGUCGAGUCGGCCUGCGCGGAAGAUGUAACGGGGCUAAACCAUGCACCGAAGCUGCGGCAGCGACACUAUGUGUUGUUGGGUAGGGGAGCGUUCUGUAAGCCUGCGAAGGUGACCUGUGAGGGUUGCUGGAGGUAUCAGAAGUGCGAAUGCUGACAUAAGUAACGAUAAAGCGGGUGAAAAGCCCGCUCGCCGGAAGACCAAGGGUUCCUGUCCAACGUUAAUCGGGGCAGGGUGAGUCGACCCCUAAGGCGAGGCCGAAAGGCGUAGUCGAUGGGAAACAGGUUAAUAUUCCUGUACUUGGUGUUACUGCGAAGGGGGGACGGAGAAGGCUAUGUUAGCCGGGCGACGGUUGUCCCGGUUUAAGCAUGUAGGCUGGUUGUCCAGGCAAAUCCGGAUAAUCAAGGCUGAGGUGUGAUGACGAGGCACUACGGUGCUGAAGUAACAAAUGCCCUGCUUCCAGGAAAAGCCUCUAAGCAUCAGGUAACAUCAAAUCGUACCCCAAACCGACACAGGUGGUCAGGUAGAGAAUACCAAGGCGCUUGAGAGAACUCGGGUGAAGGAACUAGGCAAAAUGGUGCCGUAACUUCGGGAGAAGGCACGCUGGUGUGUAGGUGAAGUCCCUGCGGAUGGAGCUGAGACCAGUCGAAGAUACCAGCUGGCUGCAACUGUUUAUUAAAAACACAGCACUGUGCAAACACGAAAGUGGACGUAUACGGUGUGACGCCUGCCCGGUGCCGGAAGGUUAAUUGAUGGGGUUAUCCGUAAGGAGAAGCUCUUGAUCGAAGCCCCGGUAAACGGCGGCCGUAACUAUAACGGUCCUAAGGUAGCGAAAUUCCUUGUCGGGUAAGUUCCGACCUGCACGAAUGGCGUAAUGAUGGCCAGGCUGUCUCCACCCGAGACUCAGUGAAAUUGAACUCGCUGUGAAGAUGCAGUGUACCCGCGGCAAGACGGAAAGACCCCGUGAACCUUUACUAUAGCUUGACACUGAACAUUGAGCCUUGAUGUGUAGGAUAGGUGGGAGGCUUUGAAGCGUGGACGCCAGUCUGCGUGGAGCCAACCUUGAAAUACCACCCUUUAAUGUUUGAUGUUCUAACGUUGGCCCCUGACCGGGGUUGCGGACAGUGUCUGGUGGGUAGUUUGACUGGGGCGGUCUCCUCCCAAAGCGUAACGGAGGAGCACGAAGGUUAGCUAAUCCUGGUCGGACAUCAGGAGGUUAGUGCAAUGGCAUAAGCUAGCUUGACUGCGAGCGUGACGGCGCGAGCAGGUGCGAAAGCAGGUCAUAGUGAUCCGGUGGUUCUGAAUGGAAGGGCCAUCGCUCAACGGAUAAAAGGUACUCCGGGGAUAACAGGCUGAUACCGCCCAAGAGUUCAUAUCGACGGCGGUGUUUGGCACCUCGAUGUCGGCUCAUCACAUCCUGGGGCUGAAGUAGGUCCCAAGGGUAUGGCUGUUCGCCAUUUAAAGUGGUACGCGAGCUGGGUUUAGAACGUCGUGAGACAGUUCGGUCCCUAUCUGCCGUGGGCGCUGGAGAAUUGAGGGGGGCUGCUCCUAGUACGAGAGGACCGGAGUGGACGCAUCACUGGUGUUCGGGUUGUCAUGCCAAUGGCACUGCCCGGUAGCUAAAUGCGGAAGAGAUAAGUGCUGAAAGCAUCUAAGCACGAAACUUGCCCCGAGAUGAGUUCUCCCUGAGACU
Molecule: ribosomal RNA, 2803 nt
Filed under: Klebsiella pneumoniae
Lineage: Bacteria; Pseudomonadati; Pseudomonadota; Gammaproteobacteria; Enterobacterales; Enterobacteriaceae
Description: partial 23S ribosomal RNA
Rfam family: Bacterial large subunit ribosomal RNA
Source: RNAcentral